AACCAUGGUAAUUCUAUGGCUAAUACAUGCGCAAUCGCCUCCUUCUURGGAGGGGCUGUGUUUAUUAGAUACAAAACCAACCCACAUUUUGGAGUCGUGGUGAUUCAUAGUAACCGAACGGAUCGCAGUUGGCUUUGGCCCGCGAUGGAUCUUUCAAGUUUCUGACCUAUCAGCUUUCGACGGUAGGGUAUUGGCCUACCGUGGCAGUGACGGGUAACGGGGAAUUAGGGUUCGAUUCCGGAGAGGGAGCCUGAGAAACGGCUACCACAUCUAAGGAAGGCAGCAGGCGCGCAAAUUACCCAAUGAAAACAGUUUCGAGGUAGUGACGAGAAAUAACAAUACAGGGCAUUUUAUGCUCUGUAAUUGGAAUGAUGGGAAUGUAAAACCCUUUCAGAGUAACAAUUGGAGGGCAAGUCUGGUGCCAGCAGCCGCGGUAAUUCCAGCUCCAAUAGUGUAUAUUAGAGUUGUUGCAGUUAAAAAGCUCGUAGUUGGAUUUCUGUCGUGGUCAUCUGGCCCGCCCGUAUGGGUCUGGGCCUGCAUGCCCUCGGCUUUCUCCCGGCAGGCCCCCGCGCUUGACUGCGUGCGGGGCUUUUCUGGGGCUUUUACUUUGAGAAAAAUAGAGUGUUUCAAGCAGGCUUGUCGCCCUGAAUACUUCAGCAUGGAAUAAUAAGAUAGGACCUCGGUUCUAUUUUGUUGGUUUCUAGGACCAAGGUAAUGAUUAAUAGGGACAGUUGGGGGCAUUCGUAUUUAACUGUCAGAGGUGAAAUUCUUAGAUUUGUUAAAGACGAACUACUGCGAAAGCAUUUGCCAAGGAUGUUUUCAUUAAUCAAGAACGACAGUAGGGGGUUUGAAGACGAUUAGAUACCGUCGUAAUCUCUACCAUAAACUAUGCCGACUAGAGAUAGGGAAAUGCCUACCUUGGCUUCUCCUGCACCUCAUGAGAAAUCAAAGUCUCUGGGUUCUGGGGGGAGUAUGGUCGCAAGGCUGAAACUUAAAGGAAUUGACGGAGGGA
RNAcentral lists this ribosomal RNA (1012 nucleotides) under Isospora sp. ex Parus major. RNAcentral describes it as "SSU rRNA". Lineage: Eukaryota; Apicomplexa; Conoidasida; Eucoccidiorida; Eimeriidae. The record is from RNAcentral.